Molecule: unclassified non-coding RNA, 358 nt
Filed under: Hevea brasiliensis (rubber tree)
Lineage: Eukaryota; Viridiplantae; Streptophyta; Magnoliopsida; Malpighiales; Euphorbiaceae
Source: RNAcentral
UUUAUCCUGAGUCUCCAAAAUCUAUACAAAUGCCCAGAAAGAACAAGCCACACAAAUGUAACAGCAGGUAAGCAAUCAGCAUUCUUAAUUUGAUAAAACUUAGAAUAAGAAGACAUCCACCAAUCAGAUUAAAUAUUCACAACAACAGCAUCUAAGGAACUAAUAAAGUAAUACAACAAAUUUUCACCUCGCGAUCCACUUCAAUAGAUUGUGUCAUAUUAACAGCUUUCAAAACCUCAAAAAGAACAUUAGCAGUUUGGUAAGCCUUUGUAAGCUGCGCACUGGAUACAAAGAGAAAACCAGCCAACAACAUAAACCAAGUUGGGAUUCAAAAGAAUAUCACCUAAACAAGCUUCUU